This is a long non-coding RNA of Harpia harpyja (harpy eagle), 1152 nucleotides long. RefSeq lists it as uncharacterized. NCBI's taxonomy places the organism in Eukaryota, Metazoa, Chordata, Aves, Accipitriformes, Accipitridae. The transcript has 2 exons. The record is from RefSeq and is a predicted model, not a curated record.
UUAGCCUGUGCAAGAUUAGGUUACACUUCAGUGUGUUAUGCACUGCAUCAGAGAAGUAUUGACACUGCUGAACACCACAACCACUCACCAAGAGGUGGAAGGGGGGUGGGAAAGAAGAAAACAAAAGAAACCACACCCCAAAACACAUUAACCAAGUAGAAAAUAGGGAGAGUUACUGCACCAUCAUUGUCCCUUCACCCAGAACACUGCUUGCACUACCUAGGAGUGAGUGCUUCGUGUACCUUCUGAGAUAAGUUUUCUUUAGCUAAAGCUGUACUAAAGAAAAGUUCAAUCCCUUCUGAAGUGUCCUCAGUGGACAUCCCUUUGGUAAAGGGCCUGGCACCCUGAAUUAUACACGGAAUUGUGCUUAAAUACCACAGGUAAGUCAGCUUGUUAGGAUUAUUGUUGUAGUCACUCCAAAGUGUUUGCCUGCAGUCCUUAACAAGAAAGAUUUCAUUUUCUCAAUUCUGUAAGAACCAGACAGCAACUGUUCAUCGUUAGAGAAACCUUUUGAGACAGAGGUAUAAGAUCUCGGUUAGUUUUGCAGAGCAUUUUGUUAUUUCGCAGUUCAGAAUGCCAAGCCUGUUAUUCCUCUCCAUCAAAGCAGAGUAACACCAUGUUCAGCUUCUGAAUACUCACUGUAGCUGGUUCAAUAGAUGAAGGUGAAUCAGUAGUUACACAGGGGGCUUCAGACUCUUUGGGAGAGGGUUGCUUUUUUUUUUUGGACAGCAAAUAAGGAUAGUGACAGGAUAUAGACAAGACAGAACACGAUACAGUUAAAGCAGCUGCAGGAAGUACAGUGAAUCAUGUAUUAGAAACGCUGCUUGAAGGUUUGGGUUUUUUCAGCUUACCACUCCAUCCAUUGCUGUGGAAGGGGAGGAGGUUCUCGGCCCACUACUGAUCAGGGACGCUACAGCAGGCCCGAGAUCUGUAAAGAGAGCCACAAAUGCAUGUCUUACCGUGCUUGGGGAUAUACUGACUCAAAGACCAAAGUUUUGGGAGAAACAGCAGCUUUUACCUCGUCGCGGUGGGACUUGGCGAUCAGGUCUGCCUGGAGUUGGCUUUACAAUUAACGGUCUUUGAAGCAUGACGAUUUUUUGGUUUACUUCUAUUAAUCUAAUUUUAAAAAAUAAAGUUUUUUUUAUUAUUCAA